GGCUGAACAUUUUGAAGUUUCAGUGUACCUGAAAAGCAAGAAGAGAGAGAGAGACUGGUUUUAACAGAGACUACUUCAACCCUUCACCUUUUCCGGAAUCGAUAAUGUUCACUUGUUCCCACUAAGAAGAGGGAUGGCCUUUGCCACCUCUUGAACUCAGGCUGCCUUAUGACUUGGUUUGGCCAGUAGAAUAUGAGAGAAGUGGUGGAGAGCAAGUUGUGAACCUGAACCUCCAGGGCCCACAUGCACUUCUAUUCUCUUUUGCUCUACUGUCUUUUUCAUGAACAAAGGACAGGCCAGGAUGCUAGAGUAUGAGACAUGGGGUCAGAGUCAAGGCCAUCAACUGUCCCAAAUAGGCUGAAACACAUGAGAAAAUUCAGUUCUCCUGGCUGACUCAGUUCACAAUAAUUGCAUGAAUAGUGAACUUGAAACAACAAAAUCAUUUUCUCCAGCUAUAGAAUUAUGCAUAAUAAUAAAUGGUUAUUUUAAGCCAUUAAAUUUGGGUAUAGUUUGUUAUCCAGCACUACUUAACUGACAUAAAAGAUUGAAUGGAAAAAAUGUUUUUAAAAAGUGAAGAUAAUGAGAACAAGUGAUAAAUAAUAGGAUCAACAUUUUACUGCCAUCUUAAAAGUUGUUUAGAGUUGGUCAUCUGAGCACAUUACACAUAAAAUAAAGUGAACCAACAUUUAUUUAUAAUCGCAAAAAUAAGUUAUAGAUCAUGGAACUUUGGAAUCAGAAUUUGCUGAUCAUUUAUUUGAAUAAUAGAAUAAGUUUUUGUUUUUACUUAUUUUUAUUUUAAUCAGCAGUAUGUAAACAAACAGGAGAUGCCUCCAAAAAAGGGAAGACCUUGUGGUAGAUUGUUUUCUAGACAAGACUCAGGUGACAUUUCUUAUGUGCGGGUUACAGACAAGGCUAAAGCAAUAAUAGAUUUGUGCCAGUUUCCCAUUGUAGGCUUAUAAGGUUUAACAGAAACUAAGAGUUAUUUACUGUUAUGGCUUGUAUCUGGAUGUCCCCCAAAGCCUCAUGCACUCAUAGAUGGGGCUUUUGGGGGGUUGCUGAAUCAUGGGUGUGUGAUACUGGAAUUAAGGGUGUGUCAUAUCUAAUUUGGUUUAGCAUAGAUCUGAGUGUGGAUAAUGGAAGCCCCACACUGGGUGUGGAUAGCACCACCCCAAAAGCUUAGAUGAGAUAAAGGGGAAAUGGAGGCUUGCUGCUGCUGUUGAUUGCUGCUUGCUGGAUACUGCCUGCCUUGCCAUGGACUGUUUCCCCUCUGUGAUGCCCUCUGCCAUGCCACCCUGCUUUGGAGCCAGUUGACUAGGAACUGAAACCUCUACAGUGUGAGCUGAAAUAAACAUUUCCUCCUUUACCUUUGGGUAUUGAGUAUUUUGUCUUAGCAACAAGAAAAGUAACUAAAACAGUUUUUGGUACCAGGAGUGGAGUCAUUACCAUGACUGAAUCUGACCAUGUGGCUCAGGAGCCUUUGGAACUGGCUUUUGGGCAGAGUUUGGAAAGGUUGGGAGAUGCUAGAUGAAGAAGUAGCCCUGGAAUACUAUAAGCUGAACUUGAUGGGAGAAUCUACUCAAACUCAGAAAAUCAGAAUUCUGAUAGAAGUGCAUCUGGUAAAAACCAAGCUCAGGAAGUUUCAGUUAGGAACAAGGACUGCAUUGGCUGUUGGACUCUAGACCAUGUAUGUUAUUCUUUGGCAGAAAAUUUGUCUGCAUUUUUCUUGUGUCAGAGACUUUGCCUGAGACUGAGAUUAAGGGUGGUGAACUAAUUAAUUUUGUGGAAGAAAUUUUAAGGCAGUCUAAUUUUGGGGCAGUAGCGUGUCUACUGUUGGGAGCUUUAAGCCAGAUUCACGUUGAAAUUCAAGUACAAAUAGCCCAGUAGAAUAAUUUUAAAAGUUAUGAAUUUUGCCAGAAAGAAGUUUUCAGUAAACUUGUUGCCUGCAAAGAUGGAACAGAGGAGAAUAUGAUUGCUGAAAAGGUUAGCAAUAGAAAACCAAGAAUAUCAGAAGAGGACAAUGGAAAGAAUGGCCUGAAGGUAUCACAAGAACCAGUAGAACUCCACACUUUGCAGCCUCAAAAUUGGAAAGGUGAAAGACUUUGCUUUGAAAAGCAAAGCUGAGGACCAUGUUCCAGAAUUGUGGUGGCCUAAGGAAGUUGUUCCUCAGGAUUUGGUUCAUAGUGCUCAUCAGCCCAGGCUCUUGCUCCCUAUAGCCAAGGGAGAAGAAAGCUUGGCUAUUGCUUCAGCUGGCAGCAGACUUCAUCAUCAUCCAUAUGGUGCUGGUUUUAGAUGCAUGCAGAAUGCAAGAGUUGUGGGACCACCCAGAUUUCAGAAGAAAACCUGGCAGGCCAGGCAGUAUGCUUCUUGAGAGAACAGUGUGUGAAUGAAGUGUGUGAGUAUGAAGCCAAAGAGGCUAUGAAGACCCAAGAAGAUUAGAGAAGCCAGGAACAUAGAUUGUCUGAGGAAAGCUGCAAGGAGUGAGCAAAGUCAGCUCAAGAGAAUCUAUGAGAGCUACAAUUAUCCACAAUGCCACCGAGGAAGAGCCACCCAAGCCCUUUGGAGUUCACAACUUGCCACAGGCUGCCACAGAUGCUGGACAUGAAUAUAUGGGAUUUAGUAUUUGCCCUGAUGGAUUUGAUCUUGCUUUGUUUCCAUUCCUUUUUAUCCCCCCUAUUUGUACCUUUCUGAAUGGAUAUAUUUAUCUUGUGCCAUUGUAUGCUGGAAAUGUUUAACUUUCUUUUCUUUUGUACAGCAACUAUUAGCCAAGAGUUUGCCUUAAUUCUCAGAGGAGACUUUUGACUUGGACUUUUCAGUAAUGCUGAAACUUCCAGGAUUUUGGCAACUCUUAGAGAUGGACUAAGUGCUUUUUGCACAAAAAGAUGUGCAUAAGUCUUUUGGGAGCCAGGGGAAGAAUAUAAUGGCUUAUAUCUAGAUGUCCCCCUGAAGCUCAAAGGUGGAGCUUUUUGGAGAUAGCUGGAUCCUGGGUGUGUGAUACUGGAAUUAAAGUGUGUGAUAACUAAAUUGGCUUAGCAUAGAUCUGGGUGUGGACAAUGGAGGCCUCACCCUGAGCAUGGAAGGCACUACCCAAAAGGCUUGUAGCCUGAAUGAGAUGAAAGGGAAAGGGAAGCUUGCUGCUUGCUGCCUCCUUCCUGCUUUGCCAUGGACUAUUUCUUCUCUGUGAUGUCCCUCUGCCAUGCUGCCCUCCUUUGAGACCAGGUGACUACAGACUGAAACCUCUACAAAGUGUAAGCUGAAAUAAACCUUUCCUCUUUUACUUUUGGGUGUUGGGUACUUUGUCUCAACAACAAGAACAGUAACUAAAAUACUGGCCUAACUAUAAAGUCAUUCCAAGUAGUGGGGAUUGAGUUCAGGGGGCAGCCAAGAAACUACUAAUUUUCAUUUUAAAGAAAAUGUCUCCCAAGAACAUGAACACCUAACAUUUAUCUUCACAGAGCCAUUGGCAAACCACAAAGAAAAGAGCUUUGAGGUCAGCAGCCAGUGGCAGUAGGCGCUUAUCAUUGCUGACAUCCCAGAUGUGCUGAUCCACCCCUCAGUGGAGGCAUACCAAUAUUUGGCUUCUUGAUUCCAGAUCAGUCCAGCUGCCUCUUCUUCAUCCUGCACUGUAUACUACUAGUCAAGAGAAGUGCAGAAGAAAGGAGACCCUUCUGACCAUUUCCAAAUUCUGGAUUCCAGACAGUCCCUCUCUAGUUGCAAUGACCCUCUCCUACUUCCCUACCAAAAAGGUUGCUGUUAUAGCAGGAUGAGUUUAAGAAAUAGAAGCAAAAUAAAUGAACAAAUAAGCACAAAAUAAACUUCAUCUACCGUUUCAUAUUGUAAAAUUAAUUGACUCCUAACAGCAAAGUUAUGGGCAGAGGGAUAAGACUAAAUUGCACUAUGGUGAUACAAGGUGGAAAUAGUUAAUAAAUUGUUAAAACAAUAAGGAGAAAUAAUUUCUUGGAAUGUGGGAGUCAAAGCCUGUAAGAAUGUAACAUAUAGUAGGAGUUUCUAGAAAAUGGAUACCAUGAAUGUAUCUCUAGCCACCAGCCAUGGAAUGAGCCUUUGCCUUAUUGCCUUCUGUGUUAGAUUAAGUUGCAAAUAUAUUUGGAAACCCAGUGGAAUUAUUUUUAAGUUUUUUUGCAAUGUUCUUUCAUAGGGGAAAUAACGUAGAAUUGAAUAUUCCUACAACACAAAUGGUUCAACUCCCAAGGCCACCAGCUUAGCAAAACAAUCUCUGCUGGGACUGAUUUUUCUGCCUGGGGUGUAGUUCAACAGAAUUAUUUUUAAACAGAAAAACUUCCAAUUCAAAAGUCACUGUUUAAAUGAAUAAGUAGAUAGUUGAGGAUUCAUUGAUAUGCACUUUGAUAUGACAGGAAAUGGAAUUGGGUUUGAGAAGACAUCUCUCUGGUAGGAGAAGAAUUGUUUUGAAGAAUAGAUUUCAGUAAGGAGAAAAAUCCUCAGGAAAAAUAAUCUCAUCUUCUGAGAGCAAAUGUACAGGGAAUCGUCUUAGUUUUGUAAACUGCUUGUCUUUACUUUUUUUCUUGACAGAUACAGAUAAAGAUAGACUGCUUUGAAGGAUGACUUAUAAUUUAGGGGUUUAGAACCCUUAACAUUUGACCCAACUUUGAAAUUCUACAAUAUUUUUCCUUCACUUAGAACACAUUAUUCUCAAAAUGUAACAUGUUCUCCAUUUAUGAAAAGUAAUACUUGAAACCACUCUAUCAGUUAGGUUUAAUCAGAGAAGCAGAGUCACUGGGGUUAUAUAUAUUCACAUUUAUAUGGAUUUGUUACAGGGAUUUGACCUAUAGAGCUCAUGUGCAGUCUCUGUUAAAUCUGUUUUUUUUGCAUCUAAUCUGGAGCUGGAGUCUUCAGGACAGACACGUGCAAAAUUCAGGCAGGUGCAGAACUGGAGUUCUUUGCCAUGUGCUGAGUUCAUGACUGGCCCAGGAAUUAGAGAAGAUGGUGAAUGAUCCUGUGGAAAGUGGAACAAUUGCAGAACCAGCUGCUGUCCCAAGGCAUCCUGAACCAAGAGGUAAAUGACAAGCUGACUUUGCUGGAGUCAAGAGACUUCCAAAUGUGAUACAAGCAGAAGCCUGAUAAGCCUUUGUGCACCGGUGCUUUCUUUUUUGGGAUGCUGACCCAAGACCAUGAAGAAGGCUGUUAAGAAGCAGCCCAAGUGCAAGGCCAUGUGGAGGAAGAGAUGCAGCCCUGUCAGUCUUUUCAGACCAGAUGAGUGCAGCACCGGCUAACUCAACUGCUGAGGGCAGCCACCUGCGUGAGUGCAGGUGAGAUCAGCAGGCAAACAAGCCAGCCCACCCACAAGAUUAUGAAAGUGAAUGAAUCCUUGUUGUUGUAAAUUACUAAGUGUAGGGUUUUAUUUUAAUGCAAUAGAUAACUGGAACACAUCUCGUAGGUUGUCACAUGCAAUAUCUAAUUUCUGAUGGGAUAUGUACAUAUAAGAUAACUAAAUAAAUAUAUAUAUUUAACUUUGAACAGGAAUCUAAUAAAAGACAGAAGUAUAUACAUAUAUACAUUGUAUAUGCAAGUCUGUAAUUUGUCUUCAGUCUUUUCUUUUUUAAUUUGACAAUGUAUCUCUUGGGGAUUUUUUCUUGUCAACAUAAAGAACACUGCCUCAUUCUUUGUAAUUAUCUAGUAUCCUAUUAAGUGGGCGUUCUAUAAUUUAUGUAGCCAUUCCCCUGCCUCUGGGUUUUACAGUGCUUCUCAUUUUAAAAAAAUUAUACAUCAUUCUGUACUGAAUAUAUUUAUACACAUAUUUCAUUGCACAUUUCUGAAUGUAACUGUAAUAUAAUUUCCCAGAAGUAAAAUUCUAAGUGUAAGGUAUAUACACACUUUAUUUUGUGAUAGAUUUUAUUUAUCAUUUUGAUAUCCAAUGAUGUUGCAGAAAUUUAUACUAACAUGAAGAGUAUAUCAGAUUGCCUGGUUCCUUUAAUCAAUGGUUAAUAAUACUAUAAAUUAUUAAAUAUUUGGAUAAUUUCCAAUCUGUCUUAAAAAGAUGCCUCAAGUUUGUUUUAAUGAGUCUUUACUUAUUAAGGAUUAUUUUGAACAAUUUUUAUAUGUCUAUGAAC
Molecule: long non-coding RNA, 6083 nt
Organism: Heterocephalus glaber (naked mole-rat)
Lineage: Eukaryota; Metazoa; Chordata; Mammalia; Rodentia; Bathyergidae
Source: RefSeq, a predicted model, not a curated record